GUAGGGAAUAUUGCGCAAUGGAGGCAACUCUGACGCAGCCAUGCCGCGUGCAGGAAGAAGGCGCUACGCGUUGUAAACUGCUUUUAACCGGGAAGAAACCCCAGGACGUGUCCUGGGUUGACGGUACCGGAGGAAUAAGCACCGGCUAACUUCGUGCCAGCAGCCGCGGUAAUACGAAGGGUGCAAGCGUUAUCCGGAUUCAUUGGGUUUAAAGGGUGCGUAGGCGGAGCGUUAAGUCAGUGGUGAAAUCCAGCAGCUUAACUGUAGACUUGCCAUUGAUACUGGCGCUCUUGAGUGCGCUUGAAGUGGGCGGAAUGUGCCGUGUAGCGGUGAAAUGCUUAGAUAUGGCACAGAACACCAAUUGCGAAGGCAGCUCACUAAGGCGAUACUGACGCUGAGGCACGAAAGCGUGGGGAUCGAACAGGAUUAGAAACCCUUGUAGUCC
RNAcentral lists this ribosomal RNA (445 nucleotides) under uncultured bacterium. Its description in RNAcentral is "partial 16S ribosomal RNA". It matches the Rfam family "Bacterial small subunit ribosomal RNA", at positions 354 to 796 of the family's 1533-position model. The record is from RNAcentral.